CCCCUAGAUGUUCUGGGCCGCACGCGCGCUACACUGACGAAUGCAACGAGCUUAUAACCUUGGCCGAAAGGUCUGGGUAAUCUCCAAAUUUCGUCGUGAUGGGGAUAGAUUAUUGCAAUUAUUAAUCUUCAACGAGGAAUGCCUAGUAAGCGCAAGUCAUCAGCUUGCGUUGAUUACGUCCCUGCCCUUUGUACACACCGCCCGUCGCUCCUACCGAUUGAAUGGUCCGGUGAAGCGUUCGGACCGUGGCCUUUGGACGGUUCGCCGUCUGUUGGCUGCAGGAAGUUCGUUAAACCUUAUCAUUUAGAGGAAGGAGAAGUCGUAACA
Molecule: ribosomal RNA, 327 nt
Filed under: uncultured eukaryote
Lineage: Eukaryota
Description: partial 18S ribosomal RNA
Rfam family: Eukaryotic small subunit ribosomal RNA
Source: RNAcentral